RNAcentral lists this ribosomal RNA (813 nucleotides) under uncultured bacterium. RNAcentral describes it as "bacterial SSU rRNA". It matches the Rfam family "Bacterial small subunit ribosomal RNA", at positions 242 to 1047 of the family's 1533-position model. The record is from RNAcentral.
UACCUAGUUGGUGGGGUAAAGGCUCACCAAGGCGACUAUCCGUGCUGGUCUGAUAGGAUGAUCAGCCACGCUGGGACUGACACACGGCCCGAACUCCUACGGGAGGCAGCAGUGGGGAAUUUUGGACAAUGGGCGCAAGCCUGAUCCAGCCAUGCCGCGUGAGUGAAGAAGGCCUUCGGGUUGUAAAGCUCUUUCGGCCGGGAAGAAAUCGCAUUCUCUAAUAUAGGAUGUGGAUGACGGUACCGGACUAAUAAGCACCGGCUAACUACGUGCCCCCAGCCGCGGUAAUACGUAGGGUGCGAGCGUUAAUCGGAAUUACUGGGCGUAAAGCGUGCGCAGGCGGUUUGCUAAGACAGGUGUGAAACCCCCGGGCUUAACCUGGGAACUGCGCUUGUGACUGGCAGGCUAUAUUACGGAAUAUGGGGGAGGAAUUCCUGGUGUAUCAGUGAAAUGCGUAGAUAUCAGGAGGAACACCGAUGGCCAAUGGCGCCCCCUGGGCCUGUACUGACGCUCAUGCACUCAAGCGUGGGGAGCGACGAGAUUACAUACCCUGAUAGUCCACGCCCUAACAUGUCCACUAGUCAUUCGGAGCAUGCUGCACUGAGUGACGCAUUAACGCGUGAAUUCGACCGCCUGGUGAGUACGGCCGCAGGUUAAAAGUCACACGAAUUGAUUGGCGACCCGCACAAGCAGUGGGAUGAAGCUGGAUGAUUUCGAUGCAUCACGAACAACCAUACUUACCCUUGAUUUGAUAUGGAACCUUGGUGAGAGCAAAGGGUGUCUUCCUGUAGCGACAAACACAGGUGCUGCAUG